Molecule: ribosomal RNA, 439 nt
Filed under: uncultured bacterium
Lineage: Bacteria
Description: partial 16S ribosomal RNA
Rfam family: Bacterial small subunit ribosomal RNA
Source: RNAcentral
CCUACGGGUGGCAGCAGUGGGGAAUAUUGCACAAUGGGCGAAAGCCUGAUGCAGCAACGCCGCGUGAGCGAUGAAGGCCUUCGGGUCGUAAAGCUCUGUUCUCAAGGAAGAUAAUGACGGUACUUGAGGAGGAAGCACCGGCUAACUACGUGCCAGCAGCCGCGGUAAAACGGAGGGGGCUAGCGUUAUCCGGAAUUACUGGGCGUAAAGGGGGCGUAGGGGGUUUGUUAAGUCAGAGGUAAAAGGCUACGGCUCAACCGUAGUAAGCAUUUGAAACUGGGGAACUUGAGUACAGGAGAGGAAGGUGGAAUUCCUGGUGUAGCGGUGAAAUGCGUAGAUAUUAGGAGGAACACUCGUUGCGAAGGCGGUUCUCUGGACUGUAACUGACACUGAGGCACGAAAGCGUGGGGAGCAAACAGGAUUAGAUACCCGUGUAGUC